Molecule: ribosomal RNA, 292 nt
Filed under: uncultured bacterium
Lineage: Bacteria
Description: partial 16S ribosomal RNA
Rfam family: Bacterial small subunit ribosomal RNA
Source: RNAcentral
GUGUCAGCAGCCGCGGUAAGACAGAGGGGGCAAGCGUUGCUCGGAAUCACUGGGCGUAAAGGGCGCGUAGGCGGGGGGAUAAGUCGGUCGUGAAAUCCCCGGGCUCAACCCGGGGAGGUCGGCCGAGACUGUUCGUCUUGAGGGGCGCAGAGGGGCCUGGAAUUCCCGGUGUAGCGGUGAAAUGUGUAGAGAUCGGGAGGAACACCGGUGGCGAAGGCGGGGCUCUGGGCGCACCCUGACGCUGAGGCGCGAAAGCGUGGGGAGCAAACGGGAUUAGAUACCCGAGUAGUCC